Molecule: small nucleolar RNA, 133 nt
Organism: Tachyglossus aculeatus (Australian echidna)
Lineage: Eukaryota; Metazoa; Chordata; Mammalia; Monotremata; Tachyglossidae
Source: RefSeq, a predicted model, not a curated record
CCCCUCUCAGGACCGCACCUGGAGAGUGUCCAGUACUCUACCACUCCUGACUAGGGGGGGGAGAGUCAAGCAGAGGCCAUUCCAUUCCUAGCUUGGGCAGUGGCUAGAGAGUGGAAGGCAAUCUGCUACAAGU